Molecule: ribosomal RNA, 447 nt
Filed under: uncultured bacterium
Lineage: Bacteria
Description: partial 16S ribosomal RNA
Rfam family: Bacterial small subunit ribosomal RNA
Source: RNAcentral
AACGAACGCUGGCGGCAGGCCUAACACAUGCAAGUCGAACGCCCCGCAAGGGGAGUGGCAGACGGGUGAGUAACGCGUGGGAACCUACCUUUCGGUGAGGAAUAACUUCGGGAAACCAAAGCUAAUACCGAAUACGCCCUACGUGGGAAAGAUUAAUCGCCGAUAGAUGGGCCCGCGUCGGCUUAGCUAGUUGGGGAGGUAACGGCUCAACAAGGCUACGAUCCGUAGCUGGUCUGAGAGGAUGACCAGCCACACUGGGAGUGAGACACGGCCCAGACUCCUACGGGAGGCAGCAGUGGGGAAUAUUGGACAAUGGGCGCAAGCCUUAUCCAGCCAUGCCGCGUGAGUGAAGAAGGCCUUAGGGUUGUAAAGCUCUUUUAGUGGGGACGAUAAUGACGGUACCCACAGAAUAAGCCCCGGCUAACUUCGUGCCAGCCGCCGCCGUAA